This is a long non-coding RNA of Oreochromis niloticus (Nile tilapia), 184 nucleotides long. RefSeq lists it as uncharacterized. The record is from RefSeq and is a predicted model, not a curated record. Lineage: Eukaryota; Metazoa; Chordata; Actinopteri; Cichliformes; Cichlidae. The transcript is spliced from 3 exons.
CAGGCUUCACUACCUAGGAGUUCAAAAGGAAAAAGACAAUCAGAUCUUCACGGGGAGUCCAGCGAAAGGCAACCACCAACUAAAAGACAGCGUGACUCAGCGAAAGAAACAAGAAUAUUAUCUGAAGUGAAAGACAUAAUGAAAGAAGUCAAGGACCAUAUAAACGACAAAGAACAGCUUGGUG